UGACCAGAUCCUGCUAAAUAAAAAGAUUGC
Molecule: non-coding RNA, 30 nt
Filed under: Mus musculus (house mouse)
Lineage: Eukaryota; Metazoa; Chordata; Mammalia; Rodentia; Muridae
Source: RNAcentral